RNAcentral lists this ribosomal RNA (910 nucleotides) under uncultured bacterium. RNAcentral describes it as "bacterial SSU rRNA". It matches the Rfam family "Bacterial small subunit ribosomal RNA", at positions 33 to 937 of the family's 1533-position model. The record is from RNAcentral.
ACGCUAGCUACAGGCUUAACACAUGCAAGUCGAGGGCAGCGGGUUGAAAGCUUGCUUUCAAUGCCGGCGACCGGCGCACGGGUGCGUAACGCGUAUCAAACCUGCCUCAUACUCGGGGAUAGCCUUGCGAAAGUAAGAUUAAUACCCGAUGUUGUUGCUUUCUCGCAUGGGAGAGUAACCAAAGAUUUAUCGGUAUGAGAUGGUGAUGCGUCCGAUUAGGUAGUAGGCGGGGUAACGGCCCACCUAGCCUUCGAUCGGUAGGGGUUCUGAGAGGAAGGUCCCCCACACUGGAACUGAGACACGGUCCAGACUCCUACGGGAGGCAGCAGUGAGGAAUAUUGGUCAAUGGGCGAGAGCCUGAACCAGCCAAGUAGUGUGCAGGAUGACGGCCCUCCGGGUUGUAAACUGCUUUUAGUUGGGAAUAAAAAAAGGGACUUGUCCCUUCUUGUAUGUACCUUCAGAAAAAGGACCGGCUAAUUCCGUGCCAGCAGCCGCGGUAAUACGGAAGGUCCAGGCGUUAUCCGGAUUUAUUGGGUUUAAAGGGAGCGUAGGCGGAUUGUUAAGUCAGCGGUUAAAGGGUGUGGCUCAACCAUGCAUUGCCGUUGAAACUGGCGAUCUUGAGUGCAGACAGGGAUGCCGGAAUUCGUGGUGUAGCGGUGAAAUGCUUAGAUAUCACGAAGAACUCCGAUCGCGAAGGCAGGUGUCCGGGCUGCAACUGACGCUGAGGCUCGAAAGUGUGGGUAUCAAACAGGAUUAGAUACCCUGGUAGUCCACACAGUAAACGAUGUAUACUCGCGGUUUGCGAUAGACAGUAAGCCGCCAAGCGAAAGCAUUAAGUAUACCACUUGGGGAGUACGCCGGCAACGGUGAAACUCAAAGGAAUUGACGGGGGCCCGCACAAGCGGAGGAA